NGGGCACCAUGAGCUUCCAUGCAGUCGAGGGGUAUAGUUCUUCGGAGCUAGAGACCGGACGCCACGCGGUGCGUAACGCGUACUGCAAUCUACCUUGUACAGAGGGAUAGCCCAGAGAAAUUUGGAUUAAUACCUCAUAGUAUUAUGAAAUGGCAUCAUUCUGUAACUUAAAGUCACGACGGAGAAAAGAUGAGCAUGCGUUCCAGUCUACCUGUUCUGCGGAGGUCACGCCUUGCCGAGGCUACGAUGGGGACGGGUCCUGAGAGGCAGAUCGCCCACACUGGUACUGAGCCAGGAACCAACUCACUACGGGAGGCAGCAGUGAGGAAUAUUGGACAAUGGGCGCAAGCCUGAUCCAGCCAUGCCGCGUGCAGGAUGACGGUCCUAUGGAUUGUAAACUGCUUUUAUACGAGAAGAAACACUACUUCGUGAAGUAGCUUGACGGUAUCG
RNAcentral lists this ribosomal RNA (450 nucleotides) under Flavobacterium sp. Dooh1-2-25. RNAcentral's name for it is "bacterial SSU rRNA". It matches the Rfam family "Bacterial small subunit ribosomal RNA", at positions 38 to 480 of the family's 1533-position model. The record is from RNAcentral. Lineage: Bacteria; Pseudomonadati; Bacteroidota; Flavobacteriia; Flavobacteriales; Flavobacteriaceae.